CAGUAGCCGCGGUAAUACAGAGGGUGCGAGCGUUAAUCGGAUUUACUGGGCGCAAAGCGUGCGUAGGCGGCUUUUUAAGUCGGAUGUGAAAUCCCUGAGCUUAACUUAGGAAUUGCAUUCGAUACUGGGAAGCUAGAGUAUGGGAGAGGAUGGUAGAAUUCCAGGUGUAGCGGUGAAAUGCGUAGAGAUCUGGAGGAAUACCGAUGGCGAAGGCAGCCAUCUGGCCUAAUACUGACGCUGAGGUACGAAAGCAUGGGGAGCAAACAGGAUUAGAUACCCCUGUAGUCCCUGUCUCUUAUAC
Molecule: ribosomal RNA, 301 nt
Filed under: uncultured bacterium
Lineage: Bacteria
Description: partial 16S ribosomal RNA
Rfam family: Bacterial small subunit ribosomal RNA
Source: RNAcentral